UACGUAGGUGGCAAGCGUUGUUCGGAAUUACUGGGCGUAAAGGGCGCGUAGGCGGCCCGCUAAGUCGAACGUGAAAUCCCCAGGCUCAACCUGGGAACUGCGUCCGAUACUGGCAGGCUUGAAUCCGGGAGAGGGAUGUGGAAUUCCAGGUGUAGCGGUGAAAUGCGUAGAUAUCUGGAGGAACACCGGUGGCGAAGGCGGCAUCCUGGACCGGUAUUGACGCUGAGGCGCGAAAGCUAGGGUAGCAAACGGG
RNAcentral lists this ribosomal RNA (253 nucleotides) under uncultured bacterium. Its description in RNAcentral is "partial 16S ribosomal RNA". It matches the Rfam family "Bacterial small subunit ribosomal RNA", at positions 524 to 776 of the family's 1533-position model. The record is from RNAcentral.